GCGGACGUGGUGGAAUUGGUAUACACGCUAGCUUGAGGGGCUAGUGCUCGCAAGGGCUUGGAGGUUCGAGUCCUCUCGUCCGCACCA
RNAcentral lists this transfer RNA (87 nucleotides) under Candidatus Uhrbacteria bacterium RIFOXYA2_FULL_40_9. RNAcentral describes it as "tRNA-Leu". It matches the Rfam family "tRNA". From Rfam's summary of the family: Transfer RNA (tRNA) molecules are approximately 80 nucleotides in length. Their secondary structure includes four short double-helical elements and three loops (D, anti-codon, and T loops). Lineage: Bacteria; Candidatus Uhriibacteriota. The record is from RNAcentral. RNAcentral also lists the same sequence under 2 other names.